RNAcentral lists this ribosomal RNA (488 nucleotides) under uncultured bacterium. RNAcentral describes it as "bacterial SSU rRNA". It matches the Rfam family "Bacterial small subunit ribosomal RNA", at positions 30 to 507 of the family's 1533-position model. The record is from RNAcentral.
AUUGAACGCUGGCGGCAUGCCUUACACAUGCAAGUCGAACGGCAGCGCGUCCUUCGGGAUGGCGGCGAGUGGCGAACGGGUGAGUAAAGCAUCGGAACGUGCCCGGUAGUGCGGGAUAGCUCGGCGAAAGCCGGAUUAAUACCGCAUGAGAUCCGUGGAUGAAAGCAGGGGGACCCCUUGUGGGCCUUGCGCUACUGGAGCGGCCGAUGUCAGAUUAGGUAGUUGGUGGGGUAAAGGCCCACCAAGCCUGCGAUCUGUAGCUGGUCUGAGAGGAUGAUCAGCCACAUCGGGACUGAGACACGGCCCGAACUCCUACGGGAGGCAGCAGUGGGGAAUUUUGGACAAUGGGCGCAAGCCUGAUCCAGCCAUGCCGCGUGCAGGAUGAAGGCCCUCGGGUUGUAAACUGCUUUUGUACGGAACGAAAAGCCUCUUUCUAAUAAAGAGGGGUGAUGACGGUACCGUAAGAAUAAGCACCGGCUAACUACGUG